AUAUGAAUCCCCUGAAAAUUUGUUAAAAUGCUUAUUUUGGUUUAUGACCUGAGAUUCUGCCUUUCUGACCAGCUUUUGGGUGAUGCUGAA
Molecule: microRNA precursor, 90 nt
Filed under: Marmota monax (woodchuck)
Lineage: Eukaryota; Metazoa; Chordata; Mammalia; Rodentia; Sciuridae
Source: RNAcentral